GACGAACGCUGGCGGCGUGCUUAACACAUGCAAGUCGAACGGAAAGGCCCGGCUUUUGUGGGGUGCUCGAGUGGCGAACGGGUGAGUAACACGCGAGUAACCUGCACUAGACUUGGGGAAAACGUGAGGAAACUGGGGCUAAUACAGGAUAGGAGCUCCUGCUGCAUGGUGGGGGGGGGAAAGUUUGGGUGGUUGGGGAUGGACUCGCGGCUUAUCAGCUUGUUGGUGGGGUAGUGGCUUACCAAGGCUGUGAAGGGUAGCUGGCCUGAGAGGGUGACCGGCCCCAUUGGGCCUGAGCUACGGCCCAGCCUCCUACGGGAGGCAGCAGUGGGGAAUGUUACACAAUGGGCUGGAGCCUGAUGCAGCAACGCCGCGUGCGGUAUGUCAGCCUUCGGUUUGUGUUCCGCUUUCGCCUUUGACGAAGCGUUAGUGACGGUAAUGGGUGAAUAAGCACCGGCUAACUACGUG
RNAcentral lists this ribosomal RNA (468 nucleotides) under uncultured bacterium. Its description in RNAcentral is "partial 16S ribosomal RNA". It matches the Rfam family "Bacterial small subunit ribosomal RNA", at positions 28 to 507 of the family's 1533-position model. The record is from RNAcentral.